Molecule: ribosomal RNA, 483 nt
Filed under: uncultured bacterium
Lineage: Bacteria
Description: partial 16S ribosomal RNA
Rfam family: Bacterial small subunit ribosomal RNA
Source: RNAcentral
AUUGAACGCUGGCGGCAGGCCUAACACAUGCAAGUCGAGCGGAUGAAGGGAGCUUACUCCUGGAUUCAGCGGCGGACGGGUGAGUAAUGCCUAGGAAUCUGCCUGGUAGUGGGGGAUAACGUCCGGAAACGGGCGCUAAUACCGCAUACGUCCUGAGGGAGAAAGUGGGGGAUCUUCGGACCUCACGCUAUCAGAUGAGCCUAGGUCGGAUUAGCUAGUUGGUGGGGUAAAGGCCUACCAAGGCGACGAUCCGUAACUGGUCUGAGAGGAUGAUCAGUCACACUGGAACUGAGACCCGGUCCAGACUCCUACGGGAGGCAGCAGUGGGGAAUUUUGGACAAUGGGCGAAAGCCUGAUCCAGCAUGCCGCGUGUGUGAAGAAGGUCUUCGGAUUGUAAAGCACUUUAAGUUGGGAGGAAGGGCAGUAAGUUAAUACCUUGCUGUUUUGACGUUACCAACAGAAUAAGCACCGGCUAACUUCGUG